RNAcentral lists this ribosomal RNA (253 nucleotides) under uncultured bacterium. Its description in RNAcentral is "partial 16S ribosomal RNA". It matches the Rfam family "Bacterial small subunit ribosomal RNA", at positions 524 to 776 of the family's 1533-position model. The record is from RNAcentral.
UACGUAGGUGGCAAGCGUUGUCCGGAUUUACUGGGCGUAAAGAGCGCGCAGGCGGUCGUUCAAGUCGCGUGUGAAAGCCCCCGGCUCAACUGGGGAGGGUCACGCGAUACUGAUCGACUCGAAGGCAGGAGAGGGUAGUGGAAUUCCCGGUGUAGUGGUGAAAUGCGUAGAUAUCGGGAGGAACACCAGUGGCGAAGGCGGCUCACUGGCUCGAUUCUGACGCUGAGGUGCGAAAGCGUGGGGAGCAAACAGG